This is a long non-coding RNA of Felis catus (domestic cat), 712 nucleotides long. RefSeq lists it as uncharacterized. The record is from RefSeq and is a predicted model, not a curated record. Lineage: Eukaryota; Metazoa; Chordata; Mammalia; Carnivora; Felidae. The transcript is spliced from 2 exons.
GCUACAUAGCUUUUAAGUGAGGAGCUGGUCUUUGACCCAGAUGUGUCUGACACCAGACGCUGUGUUUUUGAUUGCUGUGCAAGGAAAAGCAAGGAAAGGGGGACCAUCUCCUGACCUGUCAUCUUUAAUUCAAGAAGGAUGCAUGCUCCAAGAGUUGUUUCUGCUGCUAGAUUCGACUGCAGGCUAACGGGGAGAGCCCAUGUGAAGUGGAGACCCAUAACCAGACCCUGAGUAGAAUGGUGGUCUUGACUGUCCCACAUACAGGCUUGUAUUUAGUCACAGAAGAGAAGGAAUCCAGGAACCUGAUGUUAGCUUGACUUUGAACGUUUUCCUUCAUUUGAAAAUGAAUAUGUUACGCCACCCUGCUAGCUCCUUCCGAGAUGUGAUGAUGAUACAAAAAAAGGCUAAUUUUUACUAGGCGUUUACUAGGUGACAGAACUUAUGCUAAGUACUUUACGUAUUAAGUUGAACUAUUUGAAAUCGCCACUGUCUGGCCUGUCUUGAUCCACUGAGUGGUAAUUUCAAAUAGUUCAGUCUAAAUACAUUCUCUCUGUUAGUUUUUACCACAUUCUCAUGACAUGGGUACUGUUAACAUACCUGCUUUACAGAUGGUAAGACUGAGGCUUUAAUUUUUUUUAAUAUUUAUUUAUUUUUGAAAAACAGUGAGAGAGAGAGAGAGAGAGAGAGAGAGAGAGAGAGAGAGAAAGAGAGA